AUAAAUAUAGCUUAAAUUAAAGCAUUGAUUUUGUAAAUCAAUUAUGACGUACUCUAUUUAUA
The sequence is a transfer RNA, 62 nucleotides long. It matches the Rfam family "tRNA". From Rfam's summary of the family: Transfer RNA (tRNA) molecules are approximately 80 nucleotides in length. Their secondary structure includes four short double-helical elements and three loops (D, anti-codon, and T loops).